Non-coding RNA from Mustela putorius furo (domestic ferret), 73 nucleotides. Lineage: Eukaryota; Metazoa; Chordata; Mammalia; Carnivora; Mustelidae. The record is from Rfam.
GCCUAGUUGGCUCAGUCAGUAGAGCAUGGGACUCCAAAUCUCGGGGUUGUGAGUUCGAGCCCCACACUGGGUA